AACAAGUUAUAACAGAGAUCACCAGGCCUGUUCUCCCGCACAUCACGAACCAGGACUAGGAUAGACGAUAGUUUGGCGGCGCGCUAGGGUUUGCAGCCGCCAGAGAAAUCGACCUGCCGGCUCCGUCCCCUGCUUCUCCCGCCACCGGGACAUCUUGUCCCCCCGCCCAAUCUGCUACUCCUCCGCUGGGGCCUGUUUAUUGAGCCAUCGGAUCUGCUCAACACCGCGCCGCUCCCUGUUGCUCCUCCUCCCCCAAGCCUGUCCACCCAGCUCUCUCAACCCAAGGGAGACUCUGACUGGAAGAUGCAGGAAACCAACAGAAACACCAGAAUCAGCUCAACCGAUAUGGGCGACGCCGGAUGGAGCCAACUCAGCCAAGAACUCGCGUCAAAGCUGUCUCCAACCAUCGUCGCGCUCGCCUCAUUCGAUGACGGGACCAUGUAUCGGCAAUCCACGGGCAUAGUUAUUGUAGGAGUAUAUGUGACAUAUGUAUAUGUAUACAUCAUACCACCUAUGUAUUGUACUGCUUAACAAUUUGUAUGUACCAGAAGGACUGAGAUGUAAAAGGGGAGAAGUAGAAGAAAUAAAAGAAAGAAAAGCAGAGGAGAAGAUAAGCCUCUGUUCCUCA
This is a long non-coding RNA of Lolium perenne, 628 nucleotides long. RefSeq lists it as uncharacterized. The record is from RefSeq and is a predicted model, not a curated record. NCBI's taxonomy places the organism in Eukaryota, Viridiplantae, Streptophyta, Magnoliopsida, Poales, Poaceae.